Long non-coding RNA from Nylanderia fulva, 711 nucleotides. RefSeq lists it as uncharacterized. The record is from RefSeq and is a predicted model, not a curated record. NCBI's taxonomy places the organism in Eukaryota, Metazoa, Arthropoda, Insecta, Hymenoptera, Formicidae.
GUAAAGAAGUGCUAGGAACCAUUUAGUAUUAAUUUGCGACGCGUUGCAAAAUAUCGAAUGUCUCUUGUGUGAAUAUGAUGCGCUUGUGUCUAUCACGUUGCGAAACAAUGACUUACAUCACAUUUACACACACUAUGUAUAAAUAAAAUGUGUAACAGUGUGAAAUCUGCGUCUGCAAAAAUAGAUGCGUGUACAUAUAUGCAUUCCCGAUGAAUAAGGAAAAGGCAAAAAAGAUGUAGAGCUAGCACGUGCGUGUUUACGACUUUACAACAAGGAAUUGCAUCAAUUGAUUGUGUGAAAACCCGCAAUAAAAGAAUAAGGAAAUCCAUCGCUAACAGCUGCGUUGAUUAUUCGCUAAUUUCGAGUAGGUAAGCAUUUCCCCGGAGAUUACAUCUGUUGGAUGGCUUGUAGGAAAUUCAUCAAGGUGUACGAACGUUCCGACGCCUACAUCUACUUAUCUCAUUCGCGAGCUGUUCAUUCAGUGCAUACAGCCCCCACAUCUGGCAUAUAUCAUAUCGCGAAUUAAUACCUACACAAUCAAAUGCGUGACGUCCUCUCUAUCCCACACUCAUUUCUUGCUACAUACCGAUACUUCUUCCUCUACAUCCUUCGUGCAGACGUAGUAUACUAAUUAAGCACAUCAUAAAUGCUGUAACUAAUUUGCUAUAUUUUCUAAGGCACUUUCUCUCUGUGUCAUAUUAUAUUUGUAAA